UACGGAGGGUGCAAGCGUUGUCCGGAUUUAUUGGGUUUAAAGGGUGCGUAGGCGGCCCGUUAAGUCAGUGGUGAAAUCCCAGGGCUCAACCCUGGAACUGCCAUUGAUACUGACGGGCUUGAGUUCGGUUAAGGCGGGCGGAACUGGUGGUGUAGCGGUGAAAUGCAUAGAUACCACCAAGAACCCCGAUUGCGUAGGCAGCUCGCUGAGCCGAAACCGACGCUGAGGCACGAAAGUGUGGGGAUCAAACAGG
RNAcentral lists this ribosomal RNA (253 nucleotides) under uncultured bacterium. RNAcentral's name for it is "partial 16S ribosomal RNA". It matches the Rfam family "Bacterial small subunit ribosomal RNA", at positions 524 to 776 of the family's 1533-position model. The record is from RNAcentral.